UUUGAACUUUGUUUGUGGUGUUUUUGAACUUGAGUUUUUGAUGUUUUUGAACUUGAGGGUGUGUUGUGUUUUUGAACUUGAGUUUGUGGUGUUUUUGAACUUGAGUUUGUUUCGUGUUUGAACUUGAGUUUGUGGCGUUUGUUGAACUCUAGGUUGUGGCAAUUGUUGAACUUGAGAUUUGGGUUUUGGUUCAACUUAAAAGUUUGGCAUUUGUUGAACAUGAGUUUGUGUGUUUGUUGAACUUAAGUUUGUGUCUUGUUUGAACUUAAGUUUGUGUCUUGUUUGAACUUGAGUUUGUGGUGUUUUCAAACUUGAGUUUUUGGUGUCUUUGAACUUGAGUUUUUGGUGUUUUUGAACUUGAGUUUGAAUCGUGUUUGAACUUGAGUUUGUGGUGUUUUUGAACUUGAGUUUGUGGUGUUUUUGAACUUGAGGUGUUGGAAAUUGUGAAACUUGAGAAUUGGGUAUUGGUUGAACUUGAGUGUGUUUUUUGAACUUGAGGUUGUGGUGUUUUUGAACUUGAGUUUGUGGUGUUUUGUACUUGAGUUUGUGUUAUUUUUCAACUUGAGGUUGUGGAACUUGUUAAACUUGAGAAUCAGGUGUUGAUUGAACUUGAGUAUUUGUUUUUUUUUAACUUGAGUUUGUGUCGUGUUUGAGCUCGAGUUUGUGGUGUUUUUGAAUUUGAGUUUGCGUGUUUGUUAAACUUGAGUUUGUGUUUUUUUAACUUGAGUUUGUUGUUUCUGAACUUGAGUUUGUGGCAAUUGUCUAACUUGAGUUUGACAUUUGUUGAACUUGGGUUUGUGGUUUUUGUUGAACUUGAGUUUGUGGUGUUUUUGAACUUGAGGUUGUGGAAUUUGUUAAACUUGAGAAUUGGGUAUUGGUUGAAAUUGAGUUUGUGUGUUUGUUGAACUUGAGUUUGUGUCGUGUUUGAACUUGAGUUUAUGUUUUUUUUGAACUUGAGUUUGUGGUGUUUUUGAACUUGAGGUUUUUAGAAAUUGUUGAACUUGAAAAUUUGGUAUUGGAUGAACUUGAGUUUGUGUGUUUGUUGAACUUGAGUUUGUGUCGUGUUUGAACUUUGGUUUGUGGUGUUUUUUGAGCCUGAGGUUGUGGUGUUUUUGAACUUGAGUUUGUGUUGCUUUUGAACUUUAGGUUGUGGCAAUUUCUAAAAUUGAGAUUUGGGUGUUGGUUGAACUUAAAAGUUUGUCAUUUGUUGAACUUGAGUUUGUGGUUUUUGUUGAACUUGAGUUUGUGUCGUGUUUGAACUGUAGGUUGUGGUUUUUUUGAGCUCGAGUAUUUGUGAUUGUUGAACUUAAGUUUUUGGUGUGUUUGAACUUGAGUUUGUGUUUUUUUUUAAGUUGAGGUUGUGGUUUUUUGAACUUCAGUUUGUGGAAAUUGUUAAACUUGAGGAUUGGGUGGUGGUUGAACUUGAGUUUGUGGUGUUUUUAGAACUUGAGGUUGUGGUGUUUUUGACUUGAGUUCGUGGCGUGUUUGAACUUCAGUUUGUGGAAAUUGUUAAACUUGAGGAUUGGGUGUUGGUUGAACUUGAGUUUGUGGUGUUGUUUGAACUUGAGUUUGUGGUGUUUUUUGAGCUUGAGGUUGUGGUGUUUUUGAGCUUGAGUUUGUGGCAUGUUUUAACUUGAGGUUGUGGAAAAACGUAAACUUGAGAUUUGGGUGUUGAUUGAACUUGAGUUUGUUUCGUGUUUGAUCUUGAGGUUGUGGUGUUUUUGAACUUGAGGUUUCUUGUUUGUUUAACUUGAGUUUGUGUGUUUUUUGAACUUGAGUUUGUUGUUUCUGAACUUGAGGUUUUGGCAAUUGUUGAACUUGAGUCUGUGGUUUUUAGUGAACUUUAGUUGGUUGCAAUUGUUGAACAUGAGUUUAUGGCGUUUGUUGAACUUGAGUUUGUGACGUGGAUGAACUUGAGUUUGUGUUAUUUUUGAACUUGAGGUUGUGGCAAUUUCUAAAAUUGAGAAUUGGGUGUUGGUUGAACUUAAAAGUUUGACAUUUGUUGAACUUGAGUGUGGUUUUUGUUGAACUUGAGUUUGUUUCGUGUUUGAACUUGAGGUUGUGGUGUUUUUGAACUUGAGGUUUCUUGUUUGUUUAACUUGAGUUUUUGGCGUGUUUGAACUUGAGUUUGUGGUUUUUUUAACUUGAGGUUGUGGUUUUUUGAACUUCAGUUUGUGGAAAUUUUUAAACUUGAGGAUUGGGUGGUGGUUGAACUUGAGUUUGUGGUGUUUUUUUAACUUGAGGUUGUGGUGUUUUUGACUUGAGUUCGUCGCGUGUUUGAACUUGAGGUUGUUGCAAUUGUUAAACUUGAGAUUUGGGUGUAUGUUGAACUCCAGUUUGUGUUGUGUUUGAACUUGAGGUUGUGGUAUUUUUUAAUUGAGUUUGUGGCGGUUUUUGAACUUGAGUUUGUGGCGUGUUUGAACUUGAGAUUGUGGCGUGUUUGAACUUGAGUUUGUGGUGGUUUUUGAACUUGAGGUUGUGAAAAUUGUUAAAACUAUAGAAUUAGGUGUUGGUUGAACUUGAGUUUGUGGGGUUUUUUUAGCUUGAGUUUGUGGUUUUUGUUGAACUUGAGUUUGUGUCGUUUUUGAGCUUGAGGUUGUGGUGUUUUUAAACUUGAGUUUGCGUGUUUGUUUAACUUGAGUUUGUGUGUUUUUUUAACUUGAGUUUGUUGUUUCUGAAGUUGAGGUUUUGGCAAUUGUUGAACUUGAGUCUGUUGUUUUUAGUGAACUUUAGUUGGUGGCAAUUGUUGAACUUGAGUUUGUGGCAUUUGUUAAACUUGAGUUUGUGACGUGUUUAAACAUGAUUUUGUGGUGUUUUUGAACUCGAGUUUGUGGUGUUUUUGAACUUGAGGUUGUGGAAAUUGUUAAACUUGAGAAUUGGGUAUUGGUUGAACUUGAGUUUGUGUGUUUGUUGAACUUGAGUUUGUGUCAUGUUUGAACUUCAGUUUGUGGUGUUUUUGAACUCGAGUUUUUGUGUUUAUUGAACUUCAGUUUGUGUCGUGUUUGAACUUGAGUUUGUGGUGUUUUUUGAACUUGAAGUUGUGUGUUUUUUUGAACUUGAGUUUGUGGCGGUUUUUGAACUUGAGGUUGUGGCAAUUGUUGAACUUGAGUUUGUGACGUGUUUGAACUUGAUUUUGUGGUGUUUUUGAACUUGAGUUUGUGGUGUUUUUGAACUUGAGUUCGUGGUGUUUGUGGAAUUUGAGUUUGUGUCGUGUUUGAACUUGAGGUUGUGGUGUUUUUCAACUCGAGUUUUUGUGUUUGUUGAACUUCAGUUUGUGUCGUGUUUGAACUUGAGUUUGUGGUGUUUUUUGAACUUGAGUUUGUGGUGUUUUUUGAACUUGAGGUUGUGGUGUUUUUGACUUGAGUUCGUGGCGUGUUUGAACUUGAGGUUGUUGCAAUUGUUAAACUUGAGAUUCGGGUGUUGGUUGAACUUAAAACUUUGCCAUUUGUUGAACUUGAGUUUGUGGUGUAUGUUGAACUCCAGCUUGUGUUGUGUUUGAACCUGAGUUUGUGGCGGUUUUUGAACUUGAGUUUGUGGCGUGUUUGAACUUGAGAUUGUGGCGUGUUUGAACUUGAGUUUGUGGUGGUUUUUGAACUUGAGGUUGUGAAAAUUGUUAAAACUUGAGAAUCAGGUGUUGGUUGAACUUGAGUUUGUGGUUUUUGUUGAACUUGAGUUUGUGGUUUUUGUUGAACUUGAGUUUGUGUCGUGUUUGAACUUGAGGUUGUGGUGUUUUUGAACUUGAGGUUUCUUGUUUGUUUAACUUGAGUUUGUGUGUUUUUUGAACUUGAGUUUGUUGUUUCUGAACUUGAGGUUUUGGCAAUUGUUGAACUUAAGUCUGGUUUUUAGUGAAAUUUAGUUGGUUGCAAUUGUUGAACAUGAGUUUAUGGCGUUUGUUGAACUUCAGUUUGUGACGUGGAUGAACUUGAGUUUGUGUUAUUUUUGAACUUGAGGUUGUGGCAAUUUCUAAAAUUGAGAAUUGGGUGUUGGUUGAACUUAAAAGUUUGACAUUUGUUGAACUUGAGUUUGUGUGUUUGUUGAACUUGAGUUUGUGUCGUGUUUGAACUUGAGGUUGUGGUUUUUUUGAACUCGAGUUUUUGUGUUUGUUGAACUUCAGUUUGUGGAAAUUUUUAAACUUGAGGAUUGGGUGGUGGUUGAACUUGAGUUUGUGGUGUUUUUUGAACUUGAGGUUGUGGUGUUUUUGACUUGAGUUCGUGGCGUGUUUGAACUUGAGGUUGUUGCAAUUGUUAAACUUGAGAUUUGGGUGUUGGUUGAACUUAAAACUUUGCCAUUUUUUGAACUUGAGUUUGUGGUGUAUGUUGAACUCCAGCUUGUGUUGUGUUUGAACUUGAGGUCGUGGUAUUUUUGAAUUGAGUUUGUGGAGGUUUUUGAACUUGAGUUUGUGGCGUGUUUGAACUUGAGAUUGUGGCGUGUUUGAACUUGAGUUUGUGGUGGUUUUUGAACUUGAGGUUGUGAAAAUUGUUAAAACUUGAGAAUCAGGUGUUGGUUGAACUUGAGUUUGUGGUUUUUGUUGAACUUGAUUUUGUGCUUUGAUUGAACUUUAGUUUAUGUUUUUUUUGUACUUGAGUUUGUGUUGUUUUUGAACUUGAGGUUGUGGAAAUUGUAAAAACUUGAGAAUCAGGUGUUGGUUGAACUUGAGUUUGUGGUUUUUGUUGAACUUGAGUUUGUGUGUUUUUUUAACUUGAGUUUGUUGUUUCUGAACUUGAGGUUUUGGCAAUUGUUGAACUUGAUAAUUGGGUAUUGGUUGAACUUGAGUUUGUGUGUUUGUUGAACUUGAGUUUGUGUCGUGUUUGAACUUCAGUUUGUGGUGUUUUUUUGAACUUGAGGUUGUGGUGUUUUUGAACUUGAGUUUUUGGUGUUUUUGAACUUGAGGUUGUGGCAAUUGUUGAACUUCAGUUUGUGACGUGUUUGAACUUGAUUUUGUGGUGUUUUUGAACUCGACUUUGUUUUGUUUUUGAACUUGAGUUCGUGGUGUUUGUUGAACUUGAGUUUGUGUCGUGUUUGAACUUGAGGUUGUGGUGUUUUUGAACUCGAGUUUUUGUGUUUGUUGAACUUGAGUUUGUGUCGUGUUUGAACUUGAGUUUGUGGUGUUUUUUGAACUUGAGGUUGUGGUGUUUUUGAACUUGAGUUUGUGGCGGUUUUUGAACUUGAGGUUGUUGCAAUUGUUGAACUUGAAAUAAAAACCCAAAUAUGAACCCAAAUAUAUAUUUUUUCUUUUUACAUUUUUUUGGUGUAACCAACUCCAAAAGGUCUUAAACAUGUUCCUAAAAAGGUUUUGGACAGUGAUUUUAACCCUAACACCAAAAACCUUAAACCUUACCCUAGCCCCAAAACCUAAUACCCGGGUAUUACCUUCAGGAAGCCCGAACACCCCAAAUUUUUUUUUUUCUUUUUUUUUUUUUCUAACUAACUCCCAAAGGUCUGAAACAUGUUCCUUAAAAAAUAUUGGACAGUUAUUUUGACCCUAACGCCAAAAACCUUAAACCUAACCCUGGCCCCAAAACCACCCGGGUAUUACCUUCAGGAAGCCCGAACACCCCAAAUAUUUUUUUUUCAUUUAUCUUUUUUUUUUUGUCUAACUUUAUCCCAAAGGUUGGAAAAGAAUUCCUACAAUGGUUUUGGACAGUGAUUUUUACCCUCACGCCCAAAAACCUUAAACCUUACCCUAGCCCCAUAACCUAAUACCCGGGUAUUACCUUCAGGAAGCCCGAACACCCCAAAUAUAUAUUUUUAUUUUCAUUUUUUUUUCGUCUAACUAACUCCAAAAGGUCUGAAACAUGUUCCUUAAAAAAUAUUGGAGAGUGAUUUUAACCCUUACGCCAAAAACCUUAAACCUAAUCCUAGCCCCAUAACCAAAUACUUAAACCUGAAGGGUAUUACCUUCAGGAAGCCCGAACACCCCAAAUAUUUUUUUUGUCAUUUUACAUUUUUUUUUGGUGUAACCAACUCCAAAAGGUCUUAAACAUGUUCCUUAAAAGGGUUUGGACAGUGAUUUCAACCCUAACGCCAAAAACCUUAAACCUUACCCUAGCCCCAAAACCUAAUACCUUCAGGAAGCCCGAAAACCCCAAAUAUUUUUUUUUUUUUUUUUUUUUUUUUUUGGUCUAACUAACUCCAAAAGGUCUGAAACAUGUUCCUUAAAAAAUAUUGGACAGUGAUUUUAACCCUAACGCCAAAAACCUUAAACCUAAUCCUAGCCCCAUUACCUAAUACCCGGGUAUUACUUUCAGGAAGUCAGAACACCCCAAAUAUUUUUUUUUCAUUUAUCUUUUUUUUUUUUGUCUAACUUAAUCCCAAAGGUUGGAAAAGAGUUCCUACAAAGGUUUUGGACAGUGAUUUUUACCCUCACGCCCAAAAACCUUAAACCUUACCCUAGCCCCAUAACCUAAUACCCGGGUAUUACCUUCAGGAAGCCCGAAAACCCCAAAUAUAUAUAUAUAUAUUUUCUUUUUUUUUGUCUAACUAACUCCAAAAGGUCUGAAACAUGUUCCUUAAAAAAUAUUGGACAGUGAUUUUAACCCUGACGCCAAAAACCUUAAACCUAAUCCUAGCCCCAUAACCUAAUACUUAAACCUGAAGGGUAUUACCUUCAGGAAGCCCGAACACCCCAAAUAUUUUUUUUGUCAUUUUACAUUUUUUUUGGUGUAACCAACUCCAAAAGGUCUGAAUCUUGUUCCUUAAAAGGUUUUGGACAGUGAUUUUAACCCUAACGCCAAAAACCUUAAACCUUACCCUAGCCCCAAAACCUAAUACCUUCAGGAAGCCCGAAAACCCCAAAUAUUUUUUUUCUUUUUUCUUUUUUUUUGGUCUAACUAACUCCAAAAGGUCUGAAACAUGUUCCUUAAAAAAUAUUGGACAGUGAUUUUAACCCUCACGCCAAAAACCUUAAACCUAAUCCUAGCCCCAAAACCUAAUACCCGGGUAUUACCUUCAGGAAGCCCGAACACCCCAAAUAUUAAUUUUUCAUUUUUUUAUUGGUCUAACUAACUCCAAAAGGUUGGAAAAGACUUCCUACAAAGGUUUUGGACAGUGAUUUUAACCCUCACGCCAAAAACCUUAAACCUUACCCUAGCCCCAUAACCUAGGGUAAAGCCCCUUUACCUAAUACCCGGGUAUUACCUUCAGGAAGCCCGAACACCCCAAAUAUUUUUUUUUCAUUUAUCUUUUUUUUUUUGUCUAACUAACUCCAAAAGGUUGGAAAAGACUUCCUAUAAAUGACUAACUCCAAAAGGUUGGAAAAGACUUCCUACAAAGGUAAUACAAAGUAUUACCUUCAGGAAGCCUGAACACCCCAAAUUUAUAUAUUUUUUUUUCUUUUUUUUUUUUUGGUCAAACUAGCUCCAAAAAGUCUGAAACAUGUUCCUUAAAAAUAUUGGACAGUGAUUUUAACCCUAACGCCAAAAACAUUAAACCUAAUCCUAGCCCCAUAACCUAAUACUUAAACCUGAAGGGUAUUACCUUCAGGAAGCCCGAACACCCCAAAUAUUUUUUUUUUCAUUUAUCUUUUUUUUUUUUGUCUAACUAACUCCAAAAGGUCUGAAAAGAGUUCCUACAAAGGUUUUGGACGGUGAUUUUAACCCUUAAACCUUACCCUAGCCCCAUAACCUAAUACCCGGGUAUUACCUUCAGAAGCCCAAAAACCCCAAAUAUAUUUUUUUAAUUUUUCGUUAGUUUUUGCUCUAACUAACUCCAACCUUACCUUCAGGAAGCCCGAACACCCCCAAAAAUUUUUUUUUCAUAUUACAUUUUUUUUGGUGUAACCAACUCCAAAAGGUCUGAAACAUGUUCCUAAAAAGGUUUUGGACAGUGAUUUUAACCCUUACGCCAAAAACCUUAAACCUUACCCUAGCCCCAUAACCUAAUACCCGGGUAUUACCUUCAGGAAGCCCGAACACCCCAAAUAUUUUUUUUUCAUUUAUCUUUCUUUUUUUUGUCUACCUAACUCCAAAAGGUUGGAAAAGACUUCCUACAAACGUUUUGGACAGUGAUUUUAACCCUAACACCAAAAACCUUAAACCUUACCCUAGCCCCAAAACCUAAUACCUGGGUAUUACCUUCAGGAAGCUUGAACACCCCAAAUAUUUUUUUUUCAUUUUACAUUUUUUUUGGUGUUACCAACUCCAAAAGGUCUUAAACAUGUUCCUAAAAAGGUUUUGGACAGUGAUUUUAAACCUAACGCCAAAAACCUUAAACCUUACCCUAGCCCCAUAACCUAAUACCUGGGUAUUUCCUUCAGGAAGCCCGAAGACCCCAAAUAUAUUUUUUCAUUUUUUUUUUUUUUUGGUCUAACUAACUCCAAAAGGUCUGAAAAGAGUUCCUACAAAGGUUUUGGACGGUGAUUUUAACCCUUAAACCUUACCCUAGCCCCAUAACCUAAUACCCGGGUAUUACCUUCAGAAGCCCAAAAACCCCAAAUAUAUUUUUUUUAUUUUCCGUUAAUUUUUGCUCUAACUAACUCCAAAAGGUUGGAAAAGACUUCCUACAAAGGUUUUGGACAGUGAUUUUAACCCUAACGCCAAAAACCUUAAACCUUACUAUAGCCCCAUAACCUAAUACCCGGGUAUUACCUUCAGGAAGCUUGAACACCCCAAAUAUUUUUUUUUUCAUUUUACAUUUUUUUUGGUGUAACCUACUCCAAAAGGUCUGAAACAUGUUCCUAAAAAGGUUUUGGACAUUGAUUUUAACCCUAACGCCAAAAACCUUAAACCUAAUCCAAGCCCCAUAAACUAAUACCUGGGUAUUUCCUUCAGGAAGCCCGAAGACCCCAAAUAUAUUUUUUUCUUUUUUCUUUUUUUUUGGUCUAACUAACUCCAAAAGGUUGGAAAAGAGUUCCUACAAAGGUUUUGGACAGUGAUUUUAACCCUAACACCAAAAACAUUAAACCUUACCCUAGCCCCAAAACCUAAUACCCAGGUAUUACCUUCUGGAAGCCCGAACACCCCAAAUAUUUUUUUUUUCAUUUUACAUUUUUUUUUGGUGUAACCAACUCCAAAAGGUCUUAAACAUGUUCCUAAAAAGGUUUUGGACACUGAUUUUAACUCUAACGCCAAAAACCUUAAACCUUACCCUAGCCCCAUAACCUUAUACCUGGGUAUUACCUUCAGGAAACCCGAACACCCCAAAUAUUUUUUUUCUUUUUCUUUUUUUUUUGUCUAACUAACUCCCAAAGGUCUGAAACAUGUUCCUUAAAAAAUAUUGGACAGUUAUUUUAACCCUAACGCCAAAAACCUUAAACCUAACCCUAGCCCCAAAACCUAAUACCCGGGUAUUACCUUCAGGAAGCCCGAACACCCCAAAUAUAUAUUUUUUAUUUUUCUUUAUUUUUGGUCUAACUUGCUCUCAAAGGUUGGAAAAGAGUUCCUACAAAGGUUUUGGACAUUGAUUUUAACCCUAACGCCAAAAACCUUAAACAUUACCCUAGCCCAGAAACCUAGUAUUACCUUCAGGAAGCCCGAACACCCCAAAAAAAUUUUUUUUCAUUUUACAUUUUUUUUGGUGUAACCAACUCCAAAAGGUCUGAAACAUGUUCCUAAAAAGGUUUUGGACAGUGAUUUUAACCCUUACGCCAAAAACCUUAAACCUUACCCUAGCCCCAUAACCUAAUACCCGGGUAUUACCUUCAGGAAGCCCGAACACCCCAAAUAUUUUUUUUUCAUUUAUCUUUUUUUUUUUUGUCUAACUAACUCCAAAAGGUUGGAAAAGACUUCCUACAAAGGUUUUUGACAGUGAUUUUAAGCCUCACGCCAAAAACCUUAAACCUUAACCUAGCCCCAUAACCUAAUACCCGGCUAUUACCUUCAGGAAGCCCGAACGACCCAAAUAUAUAUUUUUUCUUUUUCUUUUUUUUUUUGGUCAAACUAGCUCCAAAAGGUCUGAAACAUGUUCCUUAAAAAAUAUUGGACAGUGAUUUUAACCCUUACGCCAAAAACCUUAAACCUAAUCCAAGCCCCAUAACCUAAUACUUAAACCUGAAGGGUAUUACCUUCAGGAAGCCCGAACAACCUAAAUAUUUUUUUUUUCAUUUUACAUUUUUUUUUGGUGUAACCAACUCCAAAAGGUCUGAAUCUUGUUUCUUAAAAGGUUUUGGACAGUGAUUUUAACUCUAACACCAAAAACCUUAAACCUUACCCUAGCCCCAAAACCUAAUACCUUCAGGAAGCCCGAAAACCCCAAAUAUUUUUUUUUCUUUUUCCUUUUUUUUUGGUCUAACUAACUCCAAAAGGUCUGAAACAUGUUCCUUAAAAAAUAUUGGACAGUGAUUUUAACCCUAACGCCAAAAACCUUAAACCUAAUCCUAGCCCCAAAACCUAAUACCCGGGUAUUACCUUCAGGAAGCCCGAACACCCCAAAUUUUUUUUUUUCAUUUUUCUUUUUUUUAGUGGUCUAACUAACUCCAAAAGGUUGGAAAAGACUUCCUACAAAGGUUUUGGACAGUGAUUUUAACUCCACGCCAAAAACCUUAAACCUUAACCUAGCCCCAUGAGGGGAGUCACGCGACGUGAUGCGAGAGGAAGCCACGGAGUAGGGAGCUCCGCACUUCAUCGCUAUCUUUAUCCUGUUUAAUAUCAACACCAGAUAUAUUAUCACUCAGACUAAGUACUUUUAGUUGAAGGGGGUGCUAAAAAUGUUGAAACUUUCUAAGACUUCAGGCUGUGGAGACAUAAAAAGACUACUACGGUCUCAGGGGGCCGACGCCAUGAUGCAAGAUGGAGCUAAAGCGCCCGAGCAGCAGCAAGCUAACGACUUAGCUCAAGAUAUUAGCAACAUCUACUCAAUGCUUACAAAGAUUUCUGAAGAUCUCGGGGGGCUCGCAGAAAUACGUCGCACCACAGCGUCGGUGGAAGCUAAACUAUCAUCCCUUAUUACAAGAAUGGACGACGUAGAGAAACGAGUGGAGUACUUGGAAGUGACUGAGCAGGGCUGGCAAGCUAACCCGCCAGCUAACAAGGCUGAUAUCGCACAGAUAUGGGACAAAUUAGAGGACAUGGAGAAUCGCUCAAGGCGUAACAACGUUCGUUUCGUCGGCUUUCCGGAGGGUAAGGAGGCAGGAGACGUGGUGAGAUUUCUGGAGGAGCUGUUGCCGAGUCUGCUAAACAUCGAGGGGAGACGGGAGAUUGAACGGGCCCACCGGGUCCCGAGCCAGAGACCAGCGCCAGGCGACCGGCCCAGACCAAUACUGGCCCGGUUUUUGAGAUCGUCGGACCGGGAUGCGGUGAUGAGAGCAGCGAGGAACAAAGGCAAGCUGACCUGGGGGAAUACUACUGUCAUGCUUUUCCCCGAUUACUCCAGGGCCACCCAGAUGAAGCAUGAGAAAUUCAAAGAUUGCAAGAAAAAACUGCACGACCGAGGGGUUGGUUUCAGGAUGCUGUUCCCAGCUAAGCUGAGAAUUGAGACCGGCAGCGGUGAGAAAGCUUUUGAGUGCCCACGGAAAGCCAUGGCCUUCAUAGAUGCUUUGCAGUGAGUAUUGAUGGAUGGAGGUGUUCAUAUUGGUAUCCUGCGCGCCCAAACGUCUGCUGAGGACACUGGUGUUGCCUUAUUUUCCUGUGCAGUAGCGGUGAGUGAGGGAUCACGACAAGUGGAGCCACGCGGACCUGACACGGACCGUCAGACCUCGGCUAGAGGGACUUUUGAGGGGGUUAGAAUGUGCAAAGUUCAGGUUUAAUUGCACUAAAUUUGUGUUAUUUAUUAUUAUUAUUAUUUUCUUUUCUUGGGGGAGGGGGCGGGGUACAGUCGCCACCACUGUAAGGAUAUUGCUUUUGAUAAACGGCCAUGUGUUAUCGAUGAUUAGGCAGACAUGUCUUCACAAUUAAAUUUAAUGCGUCUCUCCACUUGGAAUGUUAAUGGUUUGGGGAAUCCCGUCAAGAGAAAAAGGUGAUGGCCAUCCUUAAGGCCAAAAAAUAUGAUGUGGUGUUUCUUCAAGAAACUCACAUGUCAAAAGAAGAAUCUGAGAAGCUCUGUGUAGGAUGGGUUGGACAUGUUUUUUACAGUGUAGGCUCCAGCAAGAGUAAAGGGGUUAUAAUUUUAGUAAGUAAACAUCUACAAUUUAAGUGUCUCAAGCAAAUAAGAGAUAAUACAGGUAGGAUGAUUAUAGUACUGGCUGAAAUACAGUUGCAGAAACUAAUUUUGGCCAAUAUAUAUGCUCCUAAUCUGGAUGAUCAAUCUUUUUCUCUGAUCUUGAAGGGAAGUUACAAAUACUGGGGGCUCAGCCCGUUGUUCAUGGAGGAGACUUUAAUCUGUUAAUGGACCCAGUGCUUGAUCACAGUGGGGCAAUGUUGCGUAAAAUGCCAAAAGCCGCUUUGACACUACAAAGAAUUUGCAAAUCUUUAGGAUUGAUAGAUAUCUGGAGGCUCAUGAACCCGUCAGGCAGGGAUUAUACUUUUUACUCAUCAGUACAUAAGAUUUAUAGCCGAAUAGAUUUUUUCCUAAUAUCCAAAGAGCUCAGUCCCUGUGCAGUGAGAUGUGAAAUAGGGUCUAUUUUGAUCUCUGAUCAUGCUACUGUCAGUUUGGACUUGUUACCGCAAGAUGAGAGAAGAAGGUCUUAUAGAUGGCGUCUAAACUCGUCACUUUUACAGGACCCAGCAAAUACAGAAUGGUUGAGGACCGAACUUAAAAGUUAUUUAGAGAUCAACUGGCAGUCUGUAUCAUCAGCUGGCGUGGCAUGGGAGGCCCUAAAGGCAGUGGUUAGAGGACGUAUAAUCCAACACACAUCAUACAAUAAGAAAAAUAAAACACGGGAGCUGCUAGAAUUAGAAAAUAAAAUAAAACAGGUUGAAACAGAGCUGAAGCAACAAUUAACACAAAAUGGCAUGAAAAAAUUGACAAAACUAAAAUAUCAAUACAAUAACUUAAUAACCCAUAAGAUUGAAUUUAACUUAUUCAGGGCAAGACAAACCUAUUUCGAGUCAGGAGAUAAAGCAGGAAAGCUACUUGCCAGUUAUAUAAAACAGAGGGAGUUGGCUUCCACUAUUCCUGCUAUUAGAUUGCAGUCUGGAGACCUGCUUACUGCAACGGUAGACAUUAAUCAGGCUUUUAAGGAAUUUUAUAGUAAUUUAUAUAGUUCAAACUGUACCUCUGAUGAAGAAGAAAUUCAUAGCUUUAUAGAACAGUUAGGACUCCCAAAACUGACGGAUGAACAGAGGGAUUUUCUUGAUUCAGAUAUUACUAUUGAGGAAAUUAAAGGGGUAAUUAAGGCAUUGCCAACAGGCAAGGCACCGGGGCCGGAUGGCUUCACGGGGGAAUUCUUUAAGUGCUUUGCCUCGGAACUAGCUUCACCUUUACUGGAGGUAUAUAGGGAGGCGCUGGGGAGAGGGGUGUUGCCACCCACUUUGAGACAGGCCCUCAUUAGUCUAAUUCCUAAGAAAGGUAAAGAUUGGAAGGAAUGUAAGAACUAUCGUCCGAUAUCAUUAAUGCAAAUCGAUGUUAAGAUAAUUUCUAAAAUUUUAGCAAACCGUUUAGACAGCAUAAUUACAUCAUUGAUCCAUAGUGAUCAGGUAGGAUUCAUUCGUGGUCGUAGCUCCUCCGAUAAUAUAAGACGCCUCAUUGAUGUCAUGUGGUCGCUGGCUGACACCCAGUCCCCAGUUGCUGCAAUCUCGUUGGACGCCGAAAAAGCGUUCGACAUGGUAGAAUGGGGGUUUCUAUUUAAAAUCUUAGAAGAAUUUGGAUUUGGUAUUACAUUUAUAAAAUGGAUUCGUAUGUUAUAUAAACAUCCAGAAGCAGCAGUUCAGACUAAUGGGCUCAUAUCAGACUACUUUAUGUUGGGCAGAGGAACUAGACAGGGGUCACCCCUCUCUCCUUUGCUUUUUUGUUUAGCUAUUGAGCCACUAGCAGCAGCCAUACGUAAAGCAAAUGAUUUCCCAGGGGUCACCAUAGGCGGGAAGGUCCACAAGUUGAUGUUAUAUGAGGACGAUAUUUUAUUACUGGUUUCCGAACCCAGAAGAUCUGUGCCAUGCUUGCUUGGAAUCAUAAAUACCUUCUGAAAACUGUCCGGCUAUAUUUUUUAUUUUUAUUAUUUUUUUGGUCUAACUUGCUCUCAAAGGUUGGAAAAGAGUUCCUACAAAGGUUUUGGACAUUGAUUUUAACCCUAACGCCAAAAACCUUAAACAUUACCCUAGCCCAGAAACCUAAUAUUACCUUCAGGAAGCCCGAACACCCCAAAUAUAUAUUUUUUUUCUUUUUCUUUUUUUUUGGUGUAACUAACUCCAAAAGGUCUGAAACAUGUUCCUAAAAAGGUUUUGGACAGUGAUUUUAACCCUCACGCCAAA
This 14279-nucleotide long non-coding RNA is filed under the name Xyrichtys novacula (pearly razorfish). The record is from RNAcentral. Lineage: Eukaryota; Metazoa; Chordata; Actinopteri; Labriformes; Labridae.